This 510-nucleotide ribosomal RNA is filed under the name Salmonella enterica. Its description in RNAcentral is "bacterial SSU rRNA". It matches the Rfam family "Bacterial small subunit ribosomal RNA", at positions 1 to 500 of the family's 1533-position model. Lineage: Bacteria; Pseudomonadati; Pseudomonadota; Gammaproteobacteria; Enterobacterales; Enterobacteriaceae. The record is from RNAcentral.
AAAUUGAAGAGUUUGAUCAUGGCUCAGAUUGAACGCUGGCGGCAGGCCUAACACAUGCAAGUCGAACGGUAACAGGAAGCAGCUUGCUGCUUCGCUGACGAGUGGCGGACGGGUGAGUAAUGUCUGGGAAACUGCCUGAUGGAGGGGGAUAACUACUGGAAACGGUGGCUAAUACCGCAUAACGUCGCAAGACCAAAGAGGGGGACCUUCGGGCCUCUUGCCAUCAGAUGUGCCCAGAUGGGAUUAGCUAGUUGGUGAGGUAACGGCUCACCAAGGCGACGAUCCCUAGCUGGUCUGAGAGGAUGACCAGCCACACUGGAACUGAGACACGGUCCAGACUCCUACGGGAGGCAGCAGUGGGGAAUAUUGCACAAUGGGCGCAAGCCUGAUGCAGCCAUGCCGCGUGUAUGAAGAAGGCCUUCGGGUUGUAAAGUACUUUCAGCGGGGAGGAAGGUGUUGUGGUUAAUAACCACAGCAAUUGACGUUACCCGCAGAAGAAGCACCGGCUAA